RNAcentral lists this ribosomal RNA (652 nucleotides) under Chaetothyriales sp. M-Mo2. RNAcentral describes it as "partial 18S ribosomal RNA". The stretch from base 1 to 155 matches the Rfam family "Eukaryotic small subunit ribosomal RNA", at positions 1678 to 1831 of the family's 1831-position model. Lineage: Eukaryota; Fungi; Ascomycota; Eurotiomycetes; Chaetothyriales. The record is from RNAcentral.
GCUACUACCGAUUGAAUGGCUCAGUGAGGCCUUGGGAUUGGCCAGGGGAGAUGGGCGACCAUCACCCCAGGCCGAAAACUUGGUCAAACUUGGUCAUUUAGAGGAAGUAAAAGUCGUAACAAGGUUUUCGUAGGCGCUUGCGUCUCGGAAUAAGUUAAUGCAUCCUUCUGCAGUGACACUUAUUGGAAGCCUUAGAUAACCGCCAGAAAUGGUACGGUUCCCGCGACUCUAAAAAAGCAGGAUCCUAAGGGUUAGUGGUGCCGCCUCUGCUUAAUUUAUUUAAGCACGCGGUGCUGCGACACUAUCAAAUUGCGGGAAGUCCCUUAGAGCCGGCAGUACCGCUCCCUCGUCGAAAUGAUGGGGGCAGCACCAGGUUAAUGACCUCGGGUAUGGUAACAAUCUCGCCGGAUUGGGUUACCUGCAGCCAAGUCCUCUGCGGAGGGGUGGUCGUCCACGGGCGGCCGUCUUUCGCGGUCGGAUGCAGUUCACAGGCCAAAUGGUAGUGGGUGGUCCCCUUUUGUAAGGGCGAUUGCUUAAGAUAUGGUCGGGCCCCCAGGGAAAUCCUGGGGGGUGAGUUCACAAAAGAAUAAGUAACAAGAACAAAAAAAAAAAAAAAACCCGUUCCGUAGGUGAACCUGCGGAAGGAUCAUUA